AACAGCAUGGCACAAUGGCAAAGAGUUCUUGAUUUGGAAUCAAAAAUUCUGGCUUCAAAGACCAGUAUUGCUG
RNAcentral lists this transfer RNA (73 nucleotides) under Monodelphis domestica (gray short-tailed opossum). It matches the Rfam family "tRNA". From Rfam's summary of the family: Transfer RNA (tRNA) molecules are approximately 80 nucleotides in length. Lineage: Eukaryota; Metazoa; Chordata; Mammalia; Didelphimorphia; Didelphidae. The record is from Rfam by way of RNAcentral.